UGGUGGCAUUCAAAGGACAACAUGUCUACCUGAUACAAUCUUCCUAAAGUAAAAUUUCCAUUUCCUGCUUGUGGUAUCUUUAGGAAGUUCUGCAAGUCUCAAAUGAGAAAACAUCCAU
This 118-nucleotide small nucleolar RNA is filed under the name Triticum aestivum (bread wheat). RNAcentral describes it as "Small nucleolar RNA snoR104". It matches the Rfam family "Small nucleolar RNA snoR104". Lineage: Eukaryota; Viridiplantae; Streptophyta; Magnoliopsida; Poales; Poaceae. RNAcentral also lists the same sequence under 1 other name. The record is from Rfam by way of RNAcentral.